AAAAAAGUAAACUGUGGGUUCCCGUGCCAACGUUUGAUUGUCCGUCUUAUAUGAAAUUUUUUUAUAAUUAUUAUUUUCGUUGUUGUUAGAUGAUAACACAUGAUUAAUACUUUAUGCGCGACUUAUCUUUUAAAUUUUUUUAAAUAAGACAGACGGUCAAACGUUGGACACGGAAAUCAGGGUUUGUCUUUUU
Oryza glaberrima (African rice) is the source of this 193-nucleotide non-coding RNA. The record is from Rfam. NCBI's taxonomy places the organism in Eukaryota, Viridiplantae, Streptophyta, Magnoliopsida, Poales, Poaceae.